GCUAUACAUGCAAGUCGAACGAACUUCCGUUAAUUGAUCAUGGACGUGCUUGCACUGAAUGAGAUUUUAACACGAAGUGAGUGGCGGACGGGUGAGUAACACGUGGGUAACCUGCCCAGAAGCAGGGGAUAACACCUGGAAACAGAUGCUAAUACCGUAUAACAGAGAAAACCGCCUGGUUUUCUUUUAAAAGAUGGCUCUGCUAUCACUUCUGGAUGGACCCGCGGCGCAUUAGCUAGUUGGUGAGGUAACGGCUCACCAAGGCGAUGAUGCGUAGCCGACCUGAGAGGGUAAUCGGCCACAUUGGGACUGAGACACGGCCCAGACUCCUACGGGAGGCAGCAGUAGGGAAUCUUCCACAAUGGACGCAAGUCUGAUGGAGCAACGCCGCGUGAGUGAAGAAGGGUUUCGGCUCGUAAAGCUCUGUUGUUAAAGAAGAACGUGGGUGAGAGUAACUGUUCACCCAGUGACGGUAUUUAACCAGAAAGCCACGGCUAACUACGUGCCAGCAGCCGCGGUAAUACGUAGGUGGCAAGCGUUAUCCGGAUUUAUUGGGCGUAAAGCGAGCGCAGGCGGUCUUUUAAGUCUAAUGUGAAAGCCUUCGGCUCAACCGAAGAAGUGCAUUGGAAACUGGGAGACUUGAGUGCAGAAGAGGACAGUGGAACUCCAUGUGUAGCGGUGAAAUGCGUAGAUAUAUGGAAGAACACCAGUGGCGAAGGCGGCUGUCUGGUCUGUAACUGACGCUGAGGCUCGAAAGCAUGGGUAGCGAACAGGAUUAGAUACCCUGGUAGUCCAUGCCGUAAACGAUGAUUACUAAGUGUUGGAGGGUUUCCGCCCUUCAGUGCUGCAGCUAACGCAUUAAGUAAUCCGCCUGGGGAGUACGACCGCAAGGUUGAAACUCAAAAGAAUUGACGGGGGCUCGCACAAGCGGUGG
RNAcentral lists this ribosomal RNA (934 nucleotides) under Pediococcus acidilactici. RNAcentral's name for it is "bacterial SSU rRNA". It matches the Rfam family "Bacterial small subunit ribosomal RNA", at positions 48 to 935 of the family's 1533-position model. The record is from RNAcentral. Lineage: Bacteria; Bacillati; Bacillota; Bacilli; Lactobacillales; Lactobacillaceae.